RNAcentral lists this ribosomal RNA (252 nucleotides) under uncultured bacterium. Its description in RNAcentral is "partial 16S ribosomal RNA". It matches the Rfam family "Bacterial small subunit ribosomal RNA", at positions 524 to 776 of the family's 1533-position model. The record is from RNAcentral.
UACGAAGGGGGCGAGCGUUGUUCGGAUUUACUGGGCGUAAAGGGCGCGUAGGCGGCCCUCCUUGUCGCGUGUGAAAGCCCCGGGCUCAACCUGGGAAUUGCGCGCGAAACGGGCGGGCUUGAGUUCGGGAGAGGAGCGUGGAAUUCCCAGUGUAGAGGUGAAAUUCGUAGAUAUUGGGAAGAACACCGGUGGCGAAGGCGGCGCUCUGGACCGAGACUGACGCUGAGGCGCGAAAGCGUGGGAGCAAACAGG